UUCCGGUUGAUCCUGCCAGAGGUUACUGCUAUCGGAGUUCGAUUAAGCCAUGCGAGUCUAAAGGUUUCUUCGGAAACCUUGGCGGACUGCUCAGUAACACGUGGAUAACCUACCCUUGGGACUGGAAUAACCCCGGGAAACUGGGGAUAAUACCGGAUAGAUCAGGGAUGCUGGAAUGCACCUUGAUCCAAAGCUCCGGCGCCCAAGGAUGGGUCCGCGGCCUAUCAGGUAGUAGUGGGUGUAACGUACCUACUAGCCAACGACGGGUACGGGUUGUGAGAGCAAGAGCCCGGAGAUGGAUUCUGAGACACGAAUCCAGGCCCUACGGGGUGCAGCAGGCGCGAAACCUUUACAAUGUGCGAAAGCAUGAUAAGGGAACUCCGAGUGCCAGUAUCUAAUACUGGCUGUCCUUGUGCCUAAAACGCACAAGAUAGCAAGGGCCGGGUAAGACCGGUGCCAGCCGCCGCGGUAACACCGGCGGCCCGAGUGGUAGCCGCUAUUAUUGGGUCUAAAGGGUCCGUAGCCGGUUCGAUAAGUCCUCUGGGAAAUCUGGUUGCUUAACAAUCAGACUGCCAAGGGAUACUGUCGAACUUGAGACCGGGAGAGGUAAGAGGUACUUCAGGGGUAGGAGUGAAAUCUUGUAAUCCCUGGGGGACCAUCUGUGGCGAAGGCGUCUUACCAGAACGGGUCUGACGGUGAGGGACGAAAGCUGGGGGCGCAAACCGGAUUAGAUACCCGGGUAGUCCCAGCCGUAAACGAUGCUCGCUAUGUGUCAGGUACGGUGUGACCGUAUCUGGUGCCGUAGGGAAGCCGUGAAGCGAGCCACCUGGGAAGUACGGCCGCAAGGCUGAAACUUAAAGGAAUUGGCGGGGGAGCUGAAGGUCAGGCUGAAGACCUUACCAGAUCCGCUGAGAGGAAGUGCAUGGCCGUCGUCAGUUCGUACUGUGAAGCAUCCUGUUAAGUCAGGCAACGAGCGAGACCCGUGCCCACAGUUGCCAGCAUACCCUUCGGGGUGAUGGGUACUUUGUGGGGACCGCCGCUGCUAAAGCGGAGGAAGGAGCGGGUUACGGUAGGUCAGUAUGCUCCGAAACUCCCGGGCUACACGCGGGCUACAAUGGUUGGGACAAUGGGAAUCAACACCGAAAGGUGAAGGCAAUCUCCUAAACCCAAUCGAAGUCCGGAUUGAGGGCUGCAACUCGCCCUCAUGAAGCUGGAAUCCGUAGUAAUCGCGUUUCAACACAGCGCGGUGAAUACGUCCCUGCUCCUUGCACACACCGCCCGU
This 1282-nucleotide ribosomal RNA is filed under the name uncultured archaeon. Its description in RNAcentral is "bacterial SSU rRNA". It matches the Rfam family "Archaeal small subunit ribosomal RNA". The record is from RNAcentral.